Molecule: ribosomal RNA, 468 nt
Filed under: uncultured bacterium
Lineage: Bacteria
Description: partial 16S ribosomal RNA
Rfam family: Bacterial small subunit ribosomal RNA
Source: RNAcentral
GACGAACGCUGGCGGCGGGCUUAACACAUGCAAGUCGAACGGAAAGGCCCUGCUUUUGUGGGGUGCUCGAGUGGCGAACGUGUGAAUAACACGUGAGUAACCUGCCCUUUACUUUGGGAUAACUUCAGGAAACUGGGGCUAAUGCCUGAUAGGAGCUCCUGCUGCAUGGUGGGGGUUGGACAGUUUCGGCGGUUUGGGAUGGACUCGCGGCUUAUCAGCUUGUUGGUUGGGUAGUUGCUUACCAAGGCUUUGACGGGUAGCCGGCCUGAGAGGGUGACCGGCCACAAUGGGACUGCGAUACGGCCCAGACUACAACGGGGGGCAGCAGUGGGGAAUAUUGCACAAUGGGCGGACGUCUGAUGAAGCAACGCUGCGUGCGGGAUGCCGGCCUUCGGGUUGUAAGCCGCUUUCGCCUGUGACGAAGCGUGAGUGACGGUAAUGGGUAAAGAAGCACCGGCUAACUACGUG